AGCACUUCGGUGGCCUAAGUAGUUACAGCGUCCGCCUCGGAUGCGGAAGGUUUGUGGGUUCGAACCCCAUCCGAGUCA
Non-coding RNA from Potamilus streckersoni, 78 nucleotides. NCBI's taxonomy places the organism in Eukaryota, Metazoa, Mollusca, Bivalvia, Unionida, Unionidae. The record is from the annotation of a GenBank genome assembly.